RNAcentral lists this ribosomal RNA (116 nucleotides) under Oceanobacillus jeddahensis. The record is from RNAcentral. Lineage: Bacteria; Bacillati; Bacillota; Bacilli; Caryophanales; Bacillaceae.
UCUGGUAGCGAUAGCGAAGAGGUCACACCUGUUCCCAUGCCGAACACAGAAGUUAAGUUCUUCAGCGCCGAUGGUAGUUGGGGGCUUCCCCCUGCGAGAGUAGGACGCCGCCGGGC